RNAcentral lists this ribosomal RNA (1047 nucleotides) under Halomonas sp. RNAcentral describes it as "bacterial SSU rRNA". It matches the Rfam family "Bacterial small subunit ribosomal RNA", at positions 109 to 1153 of the family's 1533-position model. The record is from RNAcentral. Lineage: Bacteria; Pseudomonadati; Pseudomonadota; Gammaproteobacteria; Oceanospirillales; Halomonadaceae.
AGUAAUGCAUAGGAAUCUGCCCGGUAGUGGGGGAUAACCUGGGGAAACCCAGGCUAAUACCGCAUACGUCCUACGGGAGAAAGCAGGGGAUCUUCGGACCUUGCGCUAUCGGAUGAGCCUAUGUCGGAUUAGCUUGUUGGUGAGGUAAUGGCUCACCAAGGCGACGAUCCGUAGCUGGUCUGAGAGGAUGAUCAGCCACAUCGGGACUGAGACACGGCCCGAACUCCUACGGGAGGCAGCAGUGGGGAAUAUUGGACAAUGGGCGAAAGCCUGAUCCAGCCAUGCCGCGUGUGUGAAGAAGGCUUUCGGGUUGUAAAGCACUUUCAGUGAGGAAGAAGGCCUUGGGGCUAAUACCCCCGAGGAAGGACAUCACUCACAGAAGAAGCACCGGCUAACUCCGUGCCAGCAGCCGCGGUAAUACGGAGGGUGCGAGCGUUAAUCGGAAUUACUGGGCGUAAAGCGCGCGUAGGCGGCGUGAUAAGCCGGUUGUGAAAGCCCCGGGCUCAACCUGGGAACGGCAUCCGGAACUGUCAGGCUAGAGUGCAGGAGAGGAAGGUAGAAUUCCCGGUGUAGCGGUGAAAUGCGUAGAGAUCGGGAGGAAUACCAGUGGCGAAGGCGGCCUUCUGGACUGACACUGACGCUGAGGUGCGAAAGCGUGGGUAGCAAACAGGAUUAGAUACCCUGGUAGUCCACGCCGUAAACGAUGUCGACUAGCCGUUGGGGUCCUUGAGACCUUUGUGGCGCAGUUAACGCGAUAAGUCGACCGCCUGGGGAGUACGGCCGCAAGGUUAAAACUCAAAUGAAUUGACGGGGGCCCGCACAAGCGGUGGAGCAUGUGGUUUAAUUCGAUGCAACGCGAAGAACCUUACCUACCCUUGACAUCGUGCGAACUUUCCAGAGAUGGAUUGGUGCCUUCGGGAACGCACAGACAGGUGCUGCAUGGCUGUCGUCAGCUCGUGUUGUGAAAUGUUGGGUUAAGUCCCGUAACGAGCGCAACCCUUGUCCCUAUUUGCCAGCGAUUCGGUCGGGAACUCUAGGGAGACUGCC